Long non-coding RNA from Colius striatus (speckled mousebird), 683 nucleotides. RefSeq lists it as uncharacterized. The record is from RefSeq and is a predicted model, not a curated record. Lineage: Eukaryota; Metazoa; Chordata; Aves; Coliiformes; Coliidae. The transcript is spliced from 3 exons.
GCUCGGCCCCGCGCGCGGGCUCCUCGGGACGGGUCCGGCCGUGACCCCGCUGCGGGACGAGACCCCCGAGCCUCAGCCCCGGCCCCUGGGCCUCAGCCCCGUCCCGCCGCCCGACCCCAGCCCCGGCCUCAGCGUCCCGCGCGCCUUUGGGCCUCACGGGGCUCGUCCCGUGUGCUGAGGAGGAAUCCAUGGAGUGAUGCAAACUUUAUAGUCAAAGUGAGGAAGCAGCACAUGAAUUCUGUGCCUGAGCUCACUGGGAAGCAGCAGCGAGAUCCAGAGCAGAGCCUGGCCUGGAUGAGACCCCUAGGCACCAACCCUCUCUGCUGCCCAUCCACGUGUCCCCGCCGGGAAUUGCUCAGGCCACACACCGCAGAUUUGCCCAGGGAGAAAGUCACAGCUCUGCCAGAAAACCAAAACUGCUGCUGUAACUUCUGAGCAAAGCUAGACCAGCACCCUGGACCUGCUGCCUUGGGGCUGUGUGAUGAUCAGGAAGGAGCAAAGCGACAGGCUGGUGUCCCCCUCCCCACCACCACUGGCCCCCACCAUGCGCUGGGGAAGAGAAGCAAAGCGCUGAGAGACGGUAAUUCAGCAUAAAUCCUCGCUAGAAAGAAAAGUCCCCGCUGGGGUUUGCAACGCUGCCUUUUCCUUCAGGCCCCAGAGAGCUGCAGGUGGGGAGUGUCACU